AGAGUUUGAUCCUGGCUCAGAAUCAACGCUGGCGGCGCGCUUAACACAUGCAAGUCGAACGGGAAAGUGGAGCAAUCCAUGAGUACAGUGGCGUACGGGUGAGUAACACGUGGGUGAUCUACCUUUUAGUGGGGAAUAACCCUGGGAAACCGGGGCUAAUACCGCAUAAGCCCGAGAGGGGAAAGUCGCAAGACGCUGAAAGAGGAGCCCGCGGCCGAUUAGCUAGUUGGUAGGGUAAGAGCCUACCAAGGCAGAGAUCGGUAGCCGGCCUGAGAGGGCACACGGCCACACUGGCACUGAAACACGGGCCAGACUCCUACGGGAGGCAGCAGUGGGGAAUCUUGCACAAUGGGGGCAACCCUGAUGCAGCGACGCCGCGUGAGCGAUGAAGCCCUUCGGGGUGUAAAGCUCUUUCGGCAGGGAAGAUGAUGACGGUACCUGCAGAAGCAGCUGCGGCUAACUACGUGCCAGCAGCCGCGGUAAUACGUAGGCAGCGAGCGUUGUUCGGAGUUACUGGGCGUAAAGGGUGUGUAGGCGGUUCUUUAAGUUUGGUGUGAAAUCUCCCGGCUCAACCGGGAGGGUGCGCCGAAUACUGAGGGACUAGAGUGCGGGAGAGGAAAGUGGAAUUCCUGGUGUAGCGGUGAAAUGCGUAGAUAUCAGGAGGAACACCGGUGGUGUAGACGGCUUUCUGGACCGUAACUGACGCUGAGACACGAAAGCGUGGGUAGCAAACAGGAUUAGAUACCCUAGUAGUCC
This 756-nucleotide ribosomal RNA is filed under the name uncultured bacterium. Its description in RNAcentral is "bacterial SSU rRNA". It matches the Rfam family "Bacterial small subunit ribosomal RNA", at positions 8 to 796 of the family's 1533-position model. The record is from RNAcentral.